RNAcentral lists this long non-coding RNA (961 nucleotides) under Helianthus annuus (common sunflower). RNAcentral's name for it is "hypothetical non coding rna". The record is from RNAcentral. Lineage: Eukaryota; Viridiplantae; Streptophyta; Magnoliopsida; Asterales; Asteraceae.
UGUGUUGUUUGAUGAAAAUAUGAACGGCUCGAAUAAUCCGUAAAUGAAUAUUAAGCCGGAAACUCAUAAGUUAAGAAUUUCCUUAAUCCGGAUUUUAGAUUUCAGGUUCACAUGAUAGAAAAUCAAAUUACGAACAUGUGGGAAGAAACGGGAGGUUAAACGGGUAAACGGUUUAAAGUUACGCAAGUUUUAGCGUUAACGGACGAAGAAACAAAACCGUAGAAACACAAGGGACAGAGGGGGCGUCGACGACGCCAAGAGGGGCAUCGCCGACGCCGUGUUCUGAUGUUGGUUUUUCGUGGACGCCCUUUGGUGUGCAAAUUCGCUGAAAAUGUAAUUUUUGACCCAUCGUGAGUUCUGUGCCUUCCGUAACUUAUCCCGUGACCUUUAAAGAGUCCCGAAAUGUAUUCCAAACUCAUUGUAGAGUGCUUAUGAGAUACGAUGAGUGCAUACGUAAGUUUAAGAGGGAAUGAAAUAACUCUAAAGGCACGUACACGUAUGGGUAUGGAUUUACCUCCAUGUUAGAAAUGGAAUCCAUAGGUAAGCAUGUUUAGAAAUGAAUAUGUACGUAGGUCAAUACAUACGAGACUUCUUUAUAUAAAUGUUUUUGAUUGGGAUAUAAGUUAGUAUAAUCAUAUGAGAUUGUAAAUAGUAUGCAAGAGGUUGUAUGUAGGCAUGUAUGUAGCUAUGUAUGUAUGUAUGAAUAUACGAAUGCACGAAGUAGGAAUUAUCGCCCAUAUAGAAUGGUGCAUGUAUGUAUGUAUACAUGGUUUCAAUACGUUGGAUAUUUACGUUACUAAUAGUGUGCCUUGAGAGUGAAAUGUAAUGCAUGUACAUUAUUGAAGUCUCACCAAGGAUUAGACACCCAGAUGAAAUGCUUAAAUUAGAAAGAUAACGGAAUAGAAAGUAUAUGAGGAUAGCACGUGGUACAGAAUCAUGGAUCAACAUGAUGGAAGGCUAG